Molecule: long non-coding RNA, 219 nt
Filed under: Elaeis guineensis (African oil palm)
Lineage: Eukaryota; Viridiplantae; Streptophyta; Magnoliopsida; Arecales; Arecaceae
Description: long non-coding RNA (EGUI_LNC070421)
Source: RNAcentral
UACCCUUGUAUAUAUCCUUCCAUUGAGUCCUUGUACAGUCCCAUCCUUGUGUGUGUUUAAGAGUCCUAUACAUAAGUGUACUUUCAGAGUUCUGUAGUCGGAGAGAAGCAAGCUUCUGUAAGCUAUCUCCCACCUGUGUAAAUACAGUUCGUCCUUUUGUUUCUUCAUAUUGUAAGUUCUUUAUGUUCGUGUGUUUCCAUCGGUAUAUAUCCAUGCAUA